GGAUAAGUUCAUCUCCAUUCACCCUAGCCCUUCUAAAUCUUACUUUCUAUAACGAAUUUUGUUUUACAUCUCGGAGGAAAUUCAUGUAGUGCGAAUUUGUUUUUUGUGUGUAUGCAUGCUAUAUGCACUGAAUACUUGUAACAUGCCGGCCAUACAUAUGGAUAUAUAUGCAUAGAAUUCUUAGCACAACCACCAAAAAGAGUGAAAGAGGGUGAGAACUUAGAAGACUAUAAUGUUUCAUAGUUGUUGGAGUAAAACAGAAAACAUAAUGGAUUGAAGAAUGAAGGAUUUGAAUAUGAAGUAGAAGGAUAAAAAAGUGAAGAGAGAAGAGAGAAUGUCAAUGAAUAUGUCUC
RNAcentral lists this long non-coding RNA (353 nucleotides) under Lupinus angustifolius (narrow-leaved blue lupine). RNAcentral's name for it is "long non-coding RNA (LANG_LNC003565)". The record is from RNAcentral. Lineage: Eukaryota; Viridiplantae; Streptophyta; Magnoliopsida; Fabales; Fabaceae.